RNAcentral lists this unclassified non-coding RNA (922 nucleotides) under Hevea brasiliensis (rubber tree). Lineage: Eukaryota; Viridiplantae; Streptophyta; Magnoliopsida; Malpighiales; Euphorbiaceae. The record is from RNAcentral.
UCUGUGACCCUCUCGCCGUUUUCGAGGGGGAUUAGGGUUAGCCGCCGGCGCUUUCGCUCUGUUUCCAAGUUUUUAGUUGAGAUCUGUCACCAUGGGUAAAGAGAAGGUUCACAUCAACAUUGUUGUCAUUGGUCAUGUUGACUCUGGGAAGUCAACCACCACUGGGCAUCUUAUUUACAAGCUUGGUGGUAUUGACAAGCGUGUGAUCGAGCGGUUUGAGAAGGAGGCUGCUGAGAUGAACAAAAGGUCAUUCAAGUAUGCGUGGGUGCUUGAUAAGCUGAAGGCCGAGCGCGAGCGUGGUAUAACCAUUGAUAUUGCUCUCUGGAAGUUUGAGACCACCAGAUACUACUGCACUGUCAUUGAUGCCCCUGGCCAUCGUGACUUCAUAAAAAACAUGAUUACUGGAACUUCUCAGGCCGAUUGUGCUGUCCUUAUUAUUGACUCUACCACUGGUGGUUUUGAGGCUGGUAUUUCCAAGGAUGGUCAGACUCGUGAGCAUGCCCUGCUUGCUUUCACUCUUGGUGUGAAGCAGAUGAUCUGUUGUUGCAACAAGAUGGAUGCCACAACCCCAAAGUACUCCAAGGCCCGGUACGAUGAAAUUAUCAAGGAGGUUUCUUCAUACCUCAAGAAGGUCGGUUACAACCCAGACAAAAUUCCCUUUGUUCCUAUCUCUGGGUUUGAGGGUGAUAACAUGAUUGAGAGGUCGAACAACCUCGACUGGUACAAGGGUCCCACCCUCCUUGAGGCCCUUGACUUAAUCAAUGAGCCAAAGAGGCCCACAGACAAGCCCCUCCGCCUUCCCCUUCAGGAUGUGUACAAGAUUGGAGGCAUUGGAACUGUGCCAGUCGGCCGUGUGGAGACUGGUAUUGUGAAGCCCGGUAUGGUAGUGACUUUUGGGCCAACUGGUCUGACCACUGAAGUU